GUAGCCUGAUAUUGAAAUUCGGCACAGCUUGUACAGGAUAGGUAGGAGCCUUUGAAACGUGAGCGCUAGCUUACGUGGAGGCGCUGGUGGGAUACUACCCUAGCUGUGUUGGCUUUCUAACCCGCACUACUUAUCGUGGUGGGAGACAGUGUCAGGCGGGCAGUUUGACUGGGGCGGUCGCCUCCUAAAAGGUAACGGAGGCGCUCAAAGGUUCCCUCAGAAUGGUUGGAAAUCAUUCAUAGAGUGUAAAGGCAU
RNAcentral lists this ribosomal RNA (255 nucleotides) under Staphylococcus aureus. RNAcentral describes it as "partial 23S ribosomal RNA". It matches the Rfam family "Bacterial large subunit ribosomal RNA", at positions 2106 to 2360 of the family's 2925-position model. Lineage: Bacteria; Bacillati; Bacillota; Bacilli; Caryophanales; Staphylococcaceae. The record is from RNAcentral.